UGGCGGCCGCGGCCUCGGCUCGCUUAGCCCCGCCCCGCGCGUUCUCUUCUGGCCAGUAAACCGCAGGACGCGGAGCCUCCAGGGCUUGGAGGGACUGGACUGGAGGGACCCGGACGUGGCGAAUGGAGUCACCCGAAAGAGUCCUCGUUUGGGUCCCAGCGCCGAUGGGAACGAAGGAGAUAGCCUCAGGCCCAUCCAGCGUGGUAGAGGAGACAGAGACGGAGGCUGAGGGAGGAAGGGGGAGCGAGGAGAGACAGACAGACACAGAGAAAGAGAGACAGACUGAGACAGAGAAAGAGAGACAGAGACCGAGACUGAGGGAGGGAGGGGGAGCGAGAAGGAGAGACAGACAGACACAGAGAAAGAGACAGACAGAGACAGAGACAGACAGAGACAGAGAAAGAGAGACAGAGACCAGACUGAGGGAGGAAGGGGGAGCGAGGAGAGACAGACAGAGACAGAGAAAGAGAGACAGACUGAGACAGAGAGACAGACAGAGACAGAGAAAGAGAGACAGAGACCAGACUGAGGGAGGAAGGGGGAGGGAGGAGAGACAGACAGACACAGAGAAAGAGAGACAGACUGAGACAGAGAGACAGACAGAGACAGAGAAAGAGAGACAGAGACCGAGACUGAGGGAGGGAGGGGGAGGGAGGAGAGACAGACAGACACAGAGAAAGAGAGACAGACUGAGACAGAGAGACAGACAGAGACAGAGAAAGAGAGACAGAGACCGAGACUGAGGGAGGGAGGGGGAGCGAGAAGGAGAGACAGACAGACACAGAGAAAGAGACAGACAGAGACAGAGAAAGAGAGACAGAGACCGAGACUGAGGGAGGGAGGGGGAGAGAGGAGAGACAGACAGACACAGAGAGACACAGAAACACAGAGAGACAGAGACCGAAACUGAGGGAGGAAGGGGGAGAGAGGAGAGACAGACAGACACAGAGAAAGAGAGACAGACUGAGACAGAGAGAGACAAAGACCGAGACUGAGGGAGGGAGGGGGAGCGAGAAGGAGAGACAGACAGACAGAGAAAGAGAGACAGACAGAGACAGAGAGACAGACAGAGACAGAGAGACACAGAAACACAGAGAGACAGAGACCGAGACUGAGGGAGGAAGGGGGAGAGAGGAGAGACAGACAGACACAGAGAAAGAGAGACAGAGACUGAGACUGAGGGAGAGAGGGGGAGCGAGAAGGAGAGACAGACAGACAGACACAGAGAAAGAGAGACAGACAGAGACAGAGAAACAGACAGAGACAGAAAGAGAGACAGAGACCGAGACUGAGGGAGGGAGAGGGAGGGAGAAGGAGAGACAGACAGACAGAGAGAGAGAAACAGAAACAGAGACCAAGACUGAGGGAGGAAGAGGGAGAGAGUAGAGACAGACAGACACAGAGAAAGAGAGAGAGACAGAAACAGAGAGAAACAGACAGACAGAGAAAGAGGGAAAAAGACAGAGAGACAGACUGAGACUGAGGGGGACAGACAGAGAGAAACAGCUUAAGACUAGAACAGAGGAAAGGAGAGAAAGCUGGAGAAAGACAGACAGACUUUGAGAGAUACAGAGACAGAGGAAGAGAGACAGACAGAGACAGAGACACAAAGAGAGACAGAGAGAGCUCUGUGGUAAUAAAAGAGUUGUGGUCCCUAUGCCAUGGUUUCCUCCUCCUCUGUCAAGUACAGAGUUGAGCAAGAUCCCCUCUGAAUUCCCUUCUAGCUCUAAAUCUAUAAUCCUGUGGACUUCCCUGAGCUUCAGGUUCCUCACAUAAAAACGGGGGUUGGAUUAGGACCUUGUCUCUGAUCCAAGUUCAGUUCAGUUCAAUAAGCACUGAUUAAUCCUUCAGUAGUUGGAAUCUCCCAUGUGCCAGGCACUGUGUAGGAGCCUGCAGAAACAGACAAAAAAAAAUAGUCCCUGCCUGCCCUCCCAGAGCUUAUGUUUGUCCUACUGAGGCAGAACAGUGUGUCUAGCGCUCACUAAACAGAAAGUUGAGAAGUAGCACAGAGCCACUCCAUGUGAAAAUGUCUUCAGAAUCUGCUGAGCCUCCAUCUGGGCCUUGGCACUCAACUCCAGAUAUUAAGAAAGUCAUUACGAUGUGAUUUACUAUGUGAUUUUUGUUGCUGUCCAGUUGUUUCACUUGUGUCCAAUUCUUCAUGACUUCAUUUGAGAUUUUCUUGACAAAGACACUGGGGUGGUUUGCCAUUUUCUUCUCCAGUUUAUUGUACAGAUGAGGAAACAGAGGCAAACAGAGUAAAGAGACUUGCCCAGGGUCACACUGCUAGAAAGUAUCCGAAGCUAAAUUUAAACACGGAAUUUUCUGACUCCAGUCCUGGCAUUCUAGGCACUAAGUGGCCACCUAACUGCCCCCAGGGAUAAAAAGGCAGUAAUAUCUCGGUUUUCAUUGACAUUGAUUAUUGUAGGUUUCAGUUUUUGUCGAUUUUUUCCAUGAAAAAUUUGUCUCCGUUUUGGUAGGUCGCCUGGGAUUUUGUGGGUGUGCCCACUUGACCUUGAUGCUAGUUUUGUGAAAACAAAGGGUGACCCACAAGUUCUCGGGCUCAGCAUGAGCAAUACAUGUACUGAAUCCAUUUAUCCAUAUAGAUAGCAAAAACAAAAAUCAGAUGAAGCAUAUGGAGAGCAAAAUGAAUGAGUUCUCUCAUUGGGAGUGAGAUAUCUCAUCUCAGUCAACUAGAAAUUCCCCCAGAGUAUCUCAGCUGAGAAGAGGGACAUAAUCAAGGUAACAACUCUACAUGUCAGCUUCUAUCCAAGGUCCUUAUGGAGGGAAUUCCAUACAAUUCCAAACAAUAACCUCUCUCCCUCCACACACCAAGAAGAGUCUUCAGAAAGAUUUCUUGGAUUGUUUUCAGAGGGAUUAUCAAUGAAAACCAAGGUAUCAUUGAACUAGCAAUGGAGAUAGAGCCUGCCUUCAAGGAGUUUGCAUUCUAAUAGAAGACAACACCUAAAGGGUAUUUGUAAGAAGGGAAUAAUAAAGUGGAGGAAUUCCAUGUGAACUGAAACGACCUCCAGGAAUUGAUGCAGAGCGAGAGGAGCAGAACCAGGAGAACAUUGUACACCGAGAUGGAUACACUGUGGCACAAUUGAAUGUAAUGCACUUCUCUACUAGCAUCAAUGCAAUGAUCCAGGACAAUUCUGAGGGACUUAUGAGAAAGAACACUAUCCACACCCAGAGAAAGAACUGUGGGAGUGGAAAUGCAGAUGAAAACAUAUGAAUGAUCAUGUAGUUUGAUAGGGAUAUGAAUAGGGUUUUGAUGUUAAAGAUCACCAUAUGGCAAAUAUGAAUAACAUGGAAAUGUACGACCCAGUGAAAUUGCUUGUCAGCUCUGGGAGGGGGGAGGGAAAAUCAAGAAUCAUGUAACCUUGGGAAAAUAUUCUAAAAUUUUUAAAAAGAAAAGAAAAACAUAUUACAGCCUAGUUUUAAUAUAAAAAUAUCAAAAAACAAGUUCCCAGAGCCCCAUGGAAGUAGCCCUGGUCUAGAACGACAAGUAGAAUUUUGUCCAGAGAACACAUAUUUAUUGGCUAACUUCUGGGUAGGAGACUUGGAUGAACUUUGCUUAGAAGGCAGCAUUUGACCUAAGUCCCCAAGGAAGUGAGGAAUUCUAAUAGGACCAGUGAGGCAAGGUUCAGAAGGGAUGGCAAUGGCAAGGAGUGGUAAUGGGCUGAUGUAUCUGAGAAAGGGGAAAUAAGUUGGUUUGGAAGGAGCCUUUUGUGUCUGAAUGGUAGUAAUGUACUAGGUGGCAAAUUGUGUGGAUACAGUGCCAGGCUGAAGUGAGAAGAUCUGAGUUCAAAUCAGUAACUGUGUGACCUUGGGAAAGUCACUUAACCCUGGUUGACCUUAGAUUCCUCUUAUGUCAAUGAGCUGGAGAGGGAAAUGGCAAACCACUCCAGGGUCUUUGCCAAAAAAACCACAAAUGGGAUCAUGAAGAGUCAGACAGAGUGAACAACAACACAAUGUGCAAUGAGCCAGGCAAGGCAGGAAGAGCCAGAAGAAGAUGGGCUUUAAAUGACAAAUUAGGGAAUUUGUGUUUUUGCUGAGAAAAAAAAAAGAGGGAGCCACUGAAGCUGCUUAAGGGAGAAAGUGACAUAGUCAGAUCUGCAUUUUAGGAAUAUGAAAUGAACAGUUGUGAGGAAUAUGGGUAAAAAGGAGAGGGGAGAAGACACCAAAAUAAUCAGAACUGUCCUUUGUGUCCACAAGCCACCUGGGCACCAGUCUAACCCUUCUGACAGAGAAGCCCCAAAUUCCUCCUCUAGGAACAAACCUGUGAGUAUUCAAAGUCCACAUCUGAUGAUCAUCACCUAUGUGACUGGUCAAGCAGUUUAAUGCUCCUGGACUUCAGUUUUCUCAUCUGUUAAAUGGGGAAAUUGACCUCUAAGGUCCAUUUUUAUGAUGGGUUGACUUCCUUGUGCCUCAGUUUCCUCUAUUUAAAAAAGGACUAGAUAUCUUUAGAGAUCUUUGCCAAAUGACCUAUGAUCCUAUGGUCUUCCUGGUCCUCAGUUUCCUCCACUGUUACUUGGGAGGGUUGUUCUAGAUGGCCUCUGAGGUCCAUUUUUAUGAUGGGUUGACUUCCUUGUGCCUCAGUUUCCUCUAUUUUAAAAAAGGACUAGAUAUCUUUAGAGGUCUUUGCCAAAUGACCUAUGAUCCUAUGGUCUUCCUGGUCCUCAGUUUCCUCCAUUGUUACUUGAGAGGGUUGUGCUGGAUGGCCUCUGAGUUCCCUUUCUGGCUUUAGAUCUAGGAAUCUCUGGUCCUGUGCCUGCCAUUGAGAGGCUGGGGCAAACCCUAGGGGGAAAGCUCGGUCUCUUUCCCUUGUGUCCCGAUACUUGAGCCAAAAGAUUCCUUUUCGAAGAGCCCAAAGUAAGCUCUGGGUCUGGCAGGGAGGACUCCCCAAGGCCCCAAGUGAACUUGUUCACCCUUGCAUCCCAAGCUGGCCCCCACCCCCCCUUCCCUAGCUCCGGUUUGAACUGCUUCUCCCCGAGAUGCUGCCUCUCUCAUCGCAUCGUCAUCCGGGGCCCCUCCAAGUGCCAAGUGGUGAUUGAGAUAGAAAAACUCUCCAUCCCUCUUCCCACUGGGGUAGGGCCGGGAGCCUGAUGCAUUCAGUCCCUCCCAACUGCAUCUAGUGGAAAAGAAAACAGGUACCAGCUGGUGGGAGCCUCCACCCAGCAACUCGGGGCCUGGACAGCCACCCGUUCACAAAUCUUUUCCUCUGAACAAUAUGUUCUUGGCGCCUGGUGGGGGCUUGUUCUACUAGGUCCCAUUAAAAAAAAUCACCCAAGCACAUCCAGCAUCCACCCCUUCCUUCUCUUUCUUCAACCAAUAAGACUCUGCCAUGGAACCACUUCUGGCUUUUUUGCUUCAAAUCCCUUGUUUGCUUGAAAACACAAAACCCUUUGGGGGAAAGAAAGAAAAGAAAGAUGAAGGGGGGCCAUGGAGGGGCCAAGUGACCCCCGAAAUGCUGAGGGGUGCUGGAAAGAAGGGCUCUUCCUUGGGGAAAGGUAUUUUGGAAGAAGGGUCCCUUUAUGGCCGAGGGCUUCCUGGAGGCGUGGAAUCCACUAGAGGGAGUCGUGCCAUGCCAAGAGAUCCCUCAGAUGCCAGCAAGCAGUCAGCUCACAUCCCUGGCACUUUUCAGGCACUUUUCAACACCUGGUUUUUGAGAGUUUUGAAAAGUCAACAACUGUAAUCUACUUCU
Non-coding RNA from Monodelphis domestica (gray short-tailed opossum), 5704 nucleotides. NCBI's taxonomy places the organism in Eukaryota, Metazoa, Chordata, Mammalia, Didelphimorphia, Didelphidae. The record is from RefSeq and is a predicted model, not a curated record.